RNAcentral lists this ribosomal RNA (497 nucleotides) under uncultured bacterium. Its description in RNAcentral is "partial 16S ribosomal RNA". It matches the Rfam family "Bacterial small subunit ribosomal RNA", at positions 28 to 507 of the family's 1533-position model. The record is from RNAcentral.
GAUGAACGCUGGCGGCGUGCCUAAUACAUGCAAGUCGAGCGAACGGACGAGAAGCUUGCUUCUCUGAUGUUAGCGGCGGACGGGUGAGUAAAACGUGGAUAACCUACCUAUAAGACUGGGAUAACUUCGGGAAACCGGAGCUAAUACCGGAUAAUAUUUUGAACCGCAUGGUUCAAAAGUGAAAGACGGUCUUGCUGUCACUUAUAGAUGGAUCCGCGCUGCAUUAGCUAGUUGGUAAGGUAACGGCUUACCAAGGCAACGAUGCAUAGCCGACCUGAGCGGGUGAUCGGCCACACUGGAACUGAGACACGGUCCAGACUCCUACGGGAGGCAGCAGUAGGGAAUCUUCCGCAAUGGGCGAAAGCCUGACGGAGCAACGCCGCGUGAGUGAUGAAGGUCUUCGGAUCGUAAAACUCUGUUAUUAGGGAAGAACAUAUGUGUAAGUAACUGUGCACAUCUUGACGGUACCUAAUCAGAAAGCCACGGCUAACUACGUG